RNAcentral lists this long non-coding RNA (254 nucleotides) under Elaeis guineensis (African oil palm). RNAcentral's name for it is "long non-coding RNA (EGUI_LNC044737)". The record is from RNAcentral. Lineage: Eukaryota; Viridiplantae; Streptophyta; Magnoliopsida; Arecales; Arecaceae.
AGGGUCCCUUUUUAUAGAUGGAGAGCGUAACUGAUUGACAACAACGUCUGUGACCGCCUGGUAGUGGGCCGUUCAGGGCCACGUGGAGUUUGUUACGGAGAGUAGUGGUGUCAGGGGCUGUUCAGGGCCACAUGGAAUUUGUUACGAAGAGUGAAGUGGUGUCCAUUGUCGCGACUUGUUAGAGAGUGGUGGAGCCAUACGGAAUCCAUUGCAGAGAGUGGAGUAGGGUAGUGGCCAUUGUCAUGACUUGCCAG